This 436-nucleotide ribosomal RNA is filed under the name Blastocystis sp. RNAcentral's name for it is "SSU rRNA". It matches the Rfam family "Eukaryotic small subunit ribosomal RNA", at positions 508 to 954 of the family's 1831-position model. Lineage: Eukaryota; Bigyra; Opalinata; Blastocystidae. The record is from RNAcentral.
AUUGGAUUGAGAACAAUGUACAACUCUUAUCGAUAAGCCAUUGGAGGGCAAGUCUGGUGCCAGCAGCCGCGGUAAUUCCAGCUCCAAUAGCGUAUAUUAACGUUGUUGCAGUUAAAAAGCUCGUAGUUGAAGUGUGGGUGGUGCUGUCUGAAUGACUUCGGUUAGUCAGAUGAUCACUACCCCCUUCCAGUAUCCAGUAGUGGGUAUUCAGUUACUUACUAUUGUGUGUUGGUCCUUUACUGUGAGAAAAUUAGAGUGUUCAAAGCAGGCGUUUGCUUGAAUAGAUUAGCAUGGAAUAAUAAUUGAAGGCUUUCGUGUUCGAUUUGAUUGGUUUGUUCAUGGAAGCAAGGUUAAAAGGAACAGUUGGGGGUAUUCAUAUUCACUAGUUAGAGGUGAAAUUCUCGGAUUUAUGGAAGAUGAACAAGUGCGAAAGCAA